This 1322-nucleotide long non-coding RNA is filed under the name Marmota monax (woodchuck). Lineage: Eukaryota; Metazoa; Chordata; Mammalia; Rodentia; Sciuridae. The record is from RNAcentral.
CAGGAAUGCUUCACAUUUAUUUAAGAUAGACAAGAAUAAGUAGGAAAAAUCUUGCCCUCUAGUCUAUUUUCCCUUUCCCAUCCCCUAUCAUAAUAUAGUACAAAGGACCUGCACUGCAUAAAUAUUCUUCAUAAAUUAUAUCAAUCCCAUAUAUAGAUGAGGGCCUGUUAUUUAACCUAAAUGAACAAGAAAUGACAAGGAUGUUGGAGAUCUUAGUAAAACACAAGUAUUCUCAAAAUGUGGGGGGUGGGUAUAAAUAAACCUAAUAAAAAAUUCAGAAUUUCAUAUCACUGAAGAUCUUUGGAGUAUAGUUAUCCCAUCCAAUAUAAAGGACAAAUUCUUGCACUGAAUAACUCCCAUCACUAAGAAAGAAGUAAUAUGUUUCUGGUGAGUCUCUCUGGGUUGUGGAGAGAGCAUAUUACACAAUUAGGGAUAGGUUACAUGCUCACUGUGCCACAUGACAGGAGACACUAUGAUAUAGGAGGUAUCAGUGGAAAGCAAAGAUGCUAUAUGGCUUUUAUGGAAAGUUCCAAUGGAAUAUCACAACAUCAUUAGGUUGUGGAGCGAAGUCAGAGAAUUGCAAAUGAGAAUUACAUAAUUUUUGGAUACUAGUUCUUGGUUUGCUGCUAGACAUCAUAUACACCAAAAGCAUGAUCAUGGACUACCAAGUGACCUCAUGGCCAAAACUUCCCAUCAUAAACUGGGCUCUUCCAGAGUCACUGAGUCAUAAAUUUGAAUGAGUCUAGCAGCAAUCUAUAUUAAAAUGGAAGCAAUAUACCUGGGAUUAUGGUGAGUAGGGCCAGAGGCCCUAAGAAAACUACCCUUUAGUCCAUGUUCACUGAUGGCUCAGAUCCCUGUGGCCUUCAGCACAAUUGUACAAGACUGUCUUUCACAGUUCACACCUAUGGUCACAUGUCGAGGAGAAGGAACCAGACAGAGGGGAGGAAGUGUUGAGGUACAUUCAUGGAUGAGUUGGUCUGGUCUGGGUGUGCAGGUCACAAAUGAGCUGUAACCAAACAGUAGCCUCAUUCUGGGCCAAUAAGAAAGAGAAGUGAUGGGAUCUCCUAAAGGAAAAAGCUCUGAGCAGUGAACAUAGUCAUCCUUGGCAUCAUGUUACAUACUUUGUACAGAAAAUAAGAAGUCCAGUUUAUUGCGCAUAAGGCCUCAAAGCUGUUUACUCUGGAACCUGAAGGAAAAAAAAUAAUUAGAUGGUACAAGGAAGUUUAGAACAAAGGAAUUUGGACAGAUUAAUGCAUGGGUAAGAUCUUUGUGUCACAUAAUGUCACUUAAAGAUAGCAUUUGUUACAGAAGAGGCUCUCAAC